CUUUCGGGAAAGAGCGGCGGACGGGUGUGUAAGGCGUGGGGAACCUACCCUGUACACCGGGAAAACGUACCGAAAGGUAUGCGAAUCCGGGAUAAUAUGUUGGGGGGGNCUCUCUUGAGUAUCAAAGGUGGGCCAGUACAGGAUGGACCCGCGUCUGCUUAGCUAGUUGGUAAGGUAACGGCUUACCAAGGCGACGCUCAGUAGCCGACCUGAGAGGGUGAUCGGCCACAUGGGAACUGAGACACGGUCCAAACUCCUACGGGAGGCAGCAGUGGGGAAUAUUGCACCAUGGGCGAAAGCCUGAUGCAGCAACGCCGCGUGAGAGAUGAAGGCCUUCGGGUCGUACAACUAUGUCCUCACGGCAGAUAAUGAAGGUGAUUAGGGAGGACGACACGGAGUACUCAGUGCAAGCAGCAGCAGUCAUACGUCUGG
Molecule: ribosomal RNA, 432 nt
Filed under: Clostridioides difficile
Lineage: Bacteria; Bacillati; Bacillota; Clostridia; Peptostreptococcales; Peptostreptococcaceae
Description: bacterial SSU rRNA
Rfam family: Bacterial small subunit ribosomal RNA
Source: RNAcentral